This 450-nucleotide ribosomal RNA is filed under the name uncultured bacterium. RNAcentral's name for it is "bacterial SSU rRNA". It matches the Rfam family "Bacterial small subunit ribosomal RNA", at positions 29 to 524 of the family's 1533-position model. The record is from RNAcentral.
AACGAACGCUGGCGGCAUGCCUAACACAUGCAGGUCGAACGAGACCUUCGGGUCUAGUGGCGCACGGGUGCGUAACGCGUGGGAAUCUGCCCUUGGGUACGGAAUAACAGUUAGAAAUGACUGCUAAUACCGUAUAAUGACUUCGGUCCAAAGAUUUAUCGCCCAAGGAUGAGCCCGCGUAGGAUUAGCUUGUUGGUGAGGUAAAGACUCACCAAGGCGACGAUCCUUAGCUGGUCUGAGAGGAUGAUCAGCCACACUGGGACUGAGACACGGCCCAGACUCCUACGGGAGGCAGCAGUGGGGAAUAUUGGACAAUGGGCGAAAGCCUGAUCCAGCAAUGCCGCGUGAGUGAUGAAGGCCUUAGGGUUGUAAAGCUCUUUUGCCCGGGAUGAUAAUGACAGUACCGGGAGAAUAAGCUCCGGCUAACUCCGUGCCAGCCGCCGCUGUAAU